This 253-nucleotide ribosomal RNA is filed under the name uncultured bacterium. RNAcentral's name for it is "partial 16S ribosomal RNA". It matches the Rfam family "Bacterial small subunit ribosomal RNA", at positions 524 to 776 of the family's 1533-position model. The record is from RNAcentral.
UACGUAGGGAGCAAGCGUUGUCCGGAAUCAUUGGGCGUAAAGCGCGUGUAGGCGGCUUGGCAAGUCUGCUCUGAAAGCCCGGGGCUCAACCCCGGGAGGCGGGUGGAUACUGUCAAGCUCGAGUCCGGAAGAGGCGAGUGGAAUUCCUGGUGUAGCGGUGAAAUGCGCAGAUAUCAGGAGGAACACCAAUGGCGAAGGCAGCUCGCUGGGACGUGACUGACGCUGAGACGCGAAAGCGUGGGGAGCAAACAGG